This 1284-nucleotide long non-coding RNA is filed under the name Anolis carolinensis (green anole). RNAcentral's name for it is "lncRNA (ENSACAG00000039245.1)". Lineage: Eukaryota; Metazoa; Chordata; Lepidosauria; Squamata; Anolidae. The record is from RNAcentral.
AUGGGAUGCUUCCCCGGUUCUGGCCUGGUCUUGCCCUUUCCCGGACCUGCCUCCGGCUGCGGGGGCCGCCCGGGGAGCAUCCUCUCCCCCGCCUCCCAAGCUUGGCCUCCUCGGGAAGGAAGGGACCGCGGCGGCGGCAGAAGGAUUCCUUUUCAUUUUCAAGAAAAGAUAAAGCAUAAUCUGAACAUUUUCAGCUUCUGCAUAUAUAUAUAUAUAUUUAUAUUAUAUAUACGAACUUUUGAACCUCUACAUCCUGAAGAAUUCCCAUCUACAAGAAGAGAAAACAAUGAUUCCAAUGACAAAGGAACCAAAAAAGGUACAGAAAACUUGCCUCUUGAUGAAAGAGAUGCACAUAUAACCAUGUCCGUUCAGAGCAAUGACAACCCAAAGAACUACAUGUCACUUCAAGAGCAGGACACAUUUGCUCAGUUUGGGACAUUUUGUUUUAAGAAUUUCAUUAGCGCUCAUUUCCAAACAUUAAUGACCUAAAUCUUCUAAUUUGCUCUCUCUGCAGCUUGAAAGACCCCUGUGCACUCAAGUCCAGUAGAGUGCUUUAUACUGCAGUUAAAUUAAAAGCAUUGCUCUUAGUUUCCAAACUUGUGGUGGAACACAAAUUAAAAUUUCUCUUGCAGACAAAAAUCCAUAAGAGAUUUGAUGUGUUAUGUGCACACGUGCAUUGGUAUUUCCAUCUAUUUGCUUGAUGGAAUAUUACUACUGGAAAAUAAAAAUCACUGACUAAAGCAUAAUGGUGUAUUGUUACUUUCGUGGUAUUUUUAUCAUUGCUAGGCAAGAUUAUUAAAUCAACUAAAUUUUGCCAAGGUGGGGUUUCUGCAUAAUAGUAGCAAAUGGGCAAUAAGGUACAGAGAGUACAGGCAAGAAUGGUGUGUAAGCUUUCUUUCAAACACACCAGUGACAUGUGACACUCCCUUAAUCUCUCUAGGCCUGUAGUGGAGUAAAGCCUCCCUCUAUGGUCUUACUCUCCAAGAUGUAAAAAAAAAAAAUCACACAGGUCUCAAUGACUGCUUCUUCUCCAAAGAACUCAUGUAAGUUCACAUGUAACUAGGCACAGCAGCCUUGUGAAUUUUGACAGAAAUCACAAGGUAGCCAUCUCAAAAAGUAAACUGCCCUUCCUGUAAACGUACAUGCAACUUCCUCCCACCUUCCUGAAACCUAGUCUUCUCUCUGCUGGUUUUGACCUUGGCAAAAGCAGAGUACAAAAUGCAGCAGGAACAGGGCUAUCAGUGACAGACAUUUUCUUCCAGAAUUCAUUUUGGUGAAUUUGAA